AGAAUCUUCCGCAAUGGGCGAAAGCCUGACGGAGCGACACCGCGUGCAGGAUGAAGGCCUUCGGGUUGUAAACUGCUGUCACGCUAUAGGAACCCCACGAUGUGAAUAGCAUCGUGGCUGACCAAAGCGAGAGGAAGCACCGGCCAACUCCGUGCCAGCACCCGCGGUAAGACGGAGGGUGCAAACGUUGUUCGGAAUCACUGGGCAUAAAGAGCUCAUAGGCGGCCCGCUAAGUCAGGUGUGAAAGCCCUCGGCUCGACCGAGGAAUUGCACUUGAUACUGAUGGGCUCGAGUCUGGUUGGGGUGAGCGGAACUCCAGGUGGAGCGGUGAAAUGCGUAGAUAUCUGGAGGAACACCGGUGGCGAAAGCGGCUCACUGGACCAGCACUGACGCUGAGGAGCGAAAGCUAGGGUAGCAAAC
This 420-nucleotide ribosomal RNA is filed under the name uncultured bacterium. RNAcentral describes it as "bacterial SSU rRNA". It matches the Rfam family "Bacterial small subunit ribosomal RNA", at positions 358 to 773 of the family's 1533-position model. The record is from RNAcentral.